Molecule: long non-coding RNA, 561 nt
Organism: Zingiber officinale
Lineage: Eukaryota; Viridiplantae; Streptophyta; Magnoliopsida; Zingiberales; Zingiberaceae
Exons: 3
Source: RefSeq, a predicted model, not a curated record
UCUCCCUGCUGCGUCGUAUCCUUUGUCACUCCUUCGCUCUCUGCAACGAAAUCUUUGCUCUCCAGUAACUGGCAAGGAGGCAGCGACCGUCGGCCGACAAGGAGACAGCAAGCAUCGGUUGACGAGGCAACGAAGGGCGGCUACACCCGAGGCGAUCGUUGCCUCACCAUCAAAAGUUCAUAGUUCUAAUUAGUCGUCAAGUGUAAUCUCUCGCCUUGCAGUGGUAAGUCAACGGCGACCGCCUUCCUCGUCGACGUUAUUCAGUUCGUGGAUGACCCAAACCGUUGAUAUGCCAAUGGAGAAAAACCUACAGGGUGCGCUUAGAUCAGAAGUUGAUAGGUCAUUAUCUAAAAACAACAUCAUAAUUGUCGACUCUAUAAACAACAUUCAGGUGAAUGAUUUAUUAUUGUGACGUUAAUUCUUGUUAUCAAACUUGGCUAAACUAAGUCAUGUCUGGAAUUAGUAUCUAUUUUAUUUUUCUUGUCUUUUUAAUUACUCUAGCUUUAAGUUUGUUUUCUGAACAUGAAAAGUUGACUAAAUUGACAUUUAAUUUUAAUUCCA